GACGAACGCUGGCGGCGUGCUUAACACAUGCAAGUCGAACGGAAAGGCCCUGCUUUUGUGGGGUGCUCGAGUGGCGAACGGGUGAGUAACACGUGAGUAACCUGCCCUUGACUUUGGGAUAACUUCAGGAAACUGGGGCUAUUACCGAUAAGGGCUCCCUCCUCAUUGUUGGGGUUGGGAAAGUUCGGCGGUUGGGGAUGGACUCGCGGCUUAUCAGCUUGUUGGUGGGGUAGUGGCUUACCAAGGCUUUGACGGGUAGCCGGCCUGAGAGGGUGACCGGCCACAUUGGGACUGAGAUACGGCCCAGACUCCUACGGGAGGCAGCAGUGGGGAAUAUUGCACAAUGGGCGGAAGCCUGAUGCAGCAACGCCGCGUGCGGGAUGACGGCCUUCGGGUUGUAAACCGCUUUCGCCUGUGACGAAGCGUGAGUGACGGUAAUGGGUAAAGAAGCACCGGCUAACUACGUG
Molecule: ribosomal RNA, 467 nt
Filed under: uncultured bacterium
Lineage: Bacteria
Description: partial 16S ribosomal RNA
Rfam family: Bacterial small subunit ribosomal RNA
Source: RNAcentral